This 57-nucleotide small nucleolar RNA is filed under the name Tupaia belangeri (northern tree shrew). RNAcentral's name for it is "Small nucleolar RNA SNORD112 (ENSTBEG00000021150.1)". Lineage: Eukaryota; Metazoa; Chordata; Mammalia; Scandentia; Tupaiidae. The record is from RNAcentral.
UGGACCAGUGGUAAGAAUGUAUCAGGAUUAUCAAGUUUUAUUUAUCUGAGGUCCAUA